GACAGUCUCAGGUAGACAGUUUCUAUGGGGCGUAGGCCUCUCAAAAGGUAACGGAGGCGUGCAAAGGUUUCCUCAGGCCGGACGGAGAUUGGCCCUUGAGUGCAAAGGCAGAAGGGAGCUUGACUAUAAGACCCACCCUUCGAGCAGGGAUGAAAGUCGGCCUUAGUGAUCCGACGGUGCUGAGUGGAAGGGCCGUCGCUCAACGGAUAAAAGUUAUCUAGGGAUAACAGGCUGAUCUUCCCUACGAGCUCACAUCGACGGGAAAGUUUGGCACCUCGAUGUCGGCUCUUCGCCACCUGGGGCUGUAGUAUGUUCCAAG
Molecule: non-coding RNA, 319 nt
Filed under: Gossypium arboreum
Lineage: Eukaryota; Viridiplantae; Streptophyta; Magnoliopsida; Malvales; Malvaceae
Description: Bacterial large subunit ribosomal RNA
Rfam family: Bacterial large subunit ribosomal RNA
Source: Rfam by way of RNAcentral